GACGAACGCUGGCGGCGUGCCUAAUACAUGCAAGUAGAACGCUGAAGGAGGAGCUUGCUUCUCUGGAUGAGUUGCGAACGGGUGAGUAACGCGUAGGUAACCUGCCUGGUAGCGGGGGAUAACUAUUGGAAACGAUAGCUAAUACCGCAUAAUAGUAGAUGUUGCAUGACAUUUGCUUAAAAGGUGCAAUUGCAUCACUACCAGAUGGACCUGCGUUGUAUUAGCUAGUUGGUGAGGUAACGGCUCACCAAGGCGACGAUACAUAGCCGACCUGAGAGGGUGAUCGGCCACACUGGGAAGGAGACACGGCCCAGACUCCUACGGGAGGCAGCAGUAGGGAAUCUUCGGCAAUGGACGGAAGACUGACCGAGCAACGCCGCGAGAGUGAAGAAGGUUUUCGGAUCGUAAAGCUCUGUUGUAAGAGAAGAACGAGUGUGAGAGUGGAAAGUUCACACUGUGACGGUAUCUUACCAGAAAGGGACGGCUAACUACGUG
RNAcentral lists this ribosomal RNA (495 nucleotides) under uncultured bacterium. RNAcentral describes it as "partial 16S ribosomal RNA". It matches the Rfam family "Bacterial small subunit ribosomal RNA", at positions 28 to 507 of the family's 1533-position model. The record is from RNAcentral.